Paramisgurnus dabryanus is the source of this 289-nucleotide non-coding RNA. Lineage: Eukaryota; Metazoa; Chordata; Actinopteri; Cypriniformes; Cobitidae. The record is from RefSeq and is a predicted model, not a curated record.
CUUCAUAGCAAACAUGCUUCUUGCUCAAAUCAAGGGAAAGGAACCCAAGGGCAAAGCAACAGCCAUUAAAGGGAGUACAUUUAAUGUCCGAUAGGUGGAGAAAAUGCUGAAGGACGUUCACUACUAAAAAGAAGCAGAAGUGAAGAGAUACAAAGCUUCAGCUACAGUCUGUUUAUUGCCUACAGUGAGACCUCCACAUUUCUGCACUUGUGAUCAUGCAAACAUCCAGUGUAGAGCACUUCACCUGCCCGGCAUGUACACCCAACAAUGCUCGCUCUGUGCAGAUGGC